CGCGGGGCCGGUUGCCAUGGUUACCGGGCCUGGGAGCAGCAGCAGGUCAUUAGAACCACAACAACUGUGCAGGCGGGAACUGUAGAGGCUGGUUUACACUGGACAUGGACACGGAAUGCUGCAGCAGCAACAACUCAGAGCAUCGCUGGAGAACAGGAGCACUAGAGACCUUUCUUCAGAUUGAGAAUCAGGGGUUAAUGCAUCAAACAGGAAUAAUUAAAUGUAUGGAAUGAUGAGUCAUCUUUGGGUUUGUUGGUCCUGCAUCACCGGAGGAAUUAUGAAUGGAUAACAACUACAUAUUCCUAACAUUAAUGUCAACAAUUAAACAUUGGUCAAAAGAAGAUAUGGCCAGGUUGCAGAGAGAGGGAAGGGCAAAGCCAAAGAUGGAAUUGAAUGUGAAUCUCAUACAUUGUCAAGGCUCCGAAAUGGAAAGGACUUGAAUGCAGGCUCACUGAGAAGUACUAAAGAAAACCCAAAAUCCAUACACAAAUGGAACAACCGAAAGAUGCAGACCUGGAACCGACAGGACACAGAACUGAUUAGUCAACACCCAAUUGGUGUCGAUCUCAGGUGAGAAGACCUAAUGGUAUACACUGAAGAUAAUGAGGACCACGUGAGCAGACUUCUGAGUUAUACAAGAACAGCGAAUGCAGAGGUGACUACCCCAGCAACAAAACUGCUGAAUUAUGGCCCCCAGCAACAACAGAGAAAAAAAGCAGGAAGAUGUCAAUAUCGGAAAGAGCAGAUCUCCUCAACCAAGCAAAGCAAAGAACUGCAGGUGCAGGAUAUCUGAAAACUGGUGCUGCCUGAAUGGAAUCUGUACAUUCUCCCUGUGACCACGUGGGUUUUCUCUGGGUGCUCCGGUUUCCUCCCACUUUCCAAAGACGUCCAGCAAAUAUACUUAUGAAUGCAUACGAAUAUAAUCUGAUGAAAGCAGAUGGAACCAGUAUUUUGUUCAUUUUCUGGGAAUAUUACCAGCCUAACCAAGAAACUGUGCCACUAACAAUUGCUGCAAGGUGUUUAGCUAAAAUUCUAACUGGAUGGACUGUAUAAAUGGAGAGAGAAGAAACUGCAAGUUGGAGCUAUCACCUCUUAAACCAGGUGGUAAAAAUUCAAUGGCAAUCAAAUUAAAUUCAAUUACAUUUCUUAAAUGUACAAGGAGGAAUACAAGUGUUUUUUUGCCCCUUUAGGGUGACACGACAAUUUUAGCAGCAAGUAUUUCUGGGUCUGAGGAUGUUGUCAAGAUGGGGACUGGCCACAGUGCAUGCUCCGAAUUAGCUCAGAAAUUCUACCACUCCAUGACUCGUUAUAACACGACUCAGAAAGAAGCCACGCGCAUGCACACGCGGCCUACAGCGGUGGAGCAGCGGCGGAGGACAGCAACGGUAACGCUUGGCCAGGCCGACCCUGCAACGCUGCAAGGACAACAUGCCUUCAAGGUCAGGUCAAGAACCCUGGGACUUGAAAUUGUGGCGACUCUGUACAGUAUCUCUGUACUACUGCUGUACACUUGUACUGUAUCUGAGAUGCUUAUCUAAGAUGUAUCUAAGUGCAUAUGUCUAGUGAUACGUGCCCUGAACACUGUACCUCGGUACAUGUGACAAAUAAAGUACCAAUGAACAAUUGAAUCUAAUGUAAAAACGAGCAUUUUACUAAAGGAAAGGACAGUUCCUAGUGAUGGCAUAAUGUAACAUUUGUCCCUACUCUUGUUUCUUUCUCUACAGCAGCCACUACUUUGGGCACAAUUGCUGGCAUCUAUCAGGAAGCAACUGAAGCAUCAUAUACUAUGAUGUAGUUGACCAAGCCAUCAAGGUUUUGAAAGGAACCAAUUCACUGAUACAAUUGGUGGUC
This is a long non-coding RNA of Leucoraja erinaceus (little skate), 1851 nucleotides long. RefSeq lists it as uncharacterized. The transcript is spliced from 7 exons. The record is from RefSeq and is a predicted model, not a curated record. Lineage: Eukaryota; Metazoa; Chordata; Chondrichthyes; Rajiformes; Rajidae.